This 389-nucleotide ribosomal RNA is filed under the name uncultured bacterium. RNAcentral's name for it is "bacterial SSU rRNA". It matches the Rfam family "Bacterial small subunit ribosomal RNA", at positions 28 to 416 of the family's 1533-position model. The record is from RNAcentral.
GACGAACGCUGGCGGCGUGCUUAACACAUGCAAGUCGAGCGGUAAGGCCCUUUCGGGGGUACACGAGCGGCGAACGGGUGAGUAACACGUGGGUGACCUGCCCUUAGCUCUGGGAUAAGCCUGGGAAACUGGGUCUAAUACCGGAUAUGACUCCAUGACGCAUGUUGUGGGGUGGAAAGCCUUGUGCGGCUAGGGAUGGGCCCGCGGCCUAUCAGCUUGUUGGUGGGGUGAUGGCCUACCAAGGCGACGACGGGUAGCCGGCCUGAGAGGGCGGCCGGCCACACUGGGACUGAGACACGGCCCAGACUCCGUACGGGAGGCAGCAGGUGGGGAAUCUUGCGCAAUGGGCGAAAGCCUGACGCAGCGACGCCGCGUGAGGGAUGACGGCC